Molecule: ribosomal RNA, 520 nt
Filed under: uncultured bacterium
Lineage: Bacteria
Description: bacterial SSU rRNA
Rfam family: Bacterial small subunit ribosomal RNA
Source: RNAcentral
AGAGUUUGAUCCUGGCUCAGGACGAACGCUGGCGGCGUGCUUAAUACAUGCAAGUCAACUGAAUCUGAAGUAGCAAUAUUUCAGAGGAGGUGGCGCACGGGUGAGUAACACGUAGGUAAUCUGCCUUUAGGUCUGACAUAAUUCCGCGAAAGCGGGACUAAUAUCAGAUGAUGCAGCGGCUCGACAUCGAGACAGUUGUUAAACCUUCGGGGCCUGAAGAUGAGCCUGCGCCUGAUUAGGUAGUUGGCGGAGUAAAAGCCCACCAAGCCUGCGAUCAGUAGCUGGUCUGAGAGGAUGAUCAGCCACACUGGAACUGAGACACGGUCCAGACUCCUACGGGAGGCAGCAGUAAGGAAUAUUGCUCAAUGGGAGAAAUCCUGAAGCAGCAACGCCGCGUGGAGGAUGAAAUACUUUUGUAUGUAAACUCCUGUAAGAAGGGAAAAAUAUGCAAUUUUUAUUGCGUUGAUUGUACCUUCAGAGUAAGCCCCGGCUAACUACGUGCCAGCAGCCGCGGUAAUUC